Molecule: long non-coding RNA, 742 nt
Filed under: Ricinus communis (castor bean)
Lineage: Eukaryota; Viridiplantae; Streptophyta; Magnoliopsida; Malpighiales; Euphorbiaceae
Description: long non-coding RNA (RCOM_LNC001533)
Source: RNAcentral
GGCGUCCUCUGAAAUUUCUUUGAAAUAUCAAAGGGUUUAGAUUAAUGGUUAUAAAGCCCGUUAAACCCUUAAAGCCAAACGGGAAUCGUCUCCGAAACCUAUAACACGAGAGGAAUUAUUAAGAGCCCCCACUUAAGACCCUCUCUUCUAGAAGAAGCCACCAUCUUCAGCUGCAACUCCCCCGUCAAGGGCGAUAGAGAACCCCUUUACCUCAAAUACCCAAAUACACCAAAACUACUAGGCUUCCAACCUAUGAUUCAACAGAAAAGGAUAAAGCACCUGAGAGCACAAACGCCAAAAGCUUUUAGCAAUAAAAGGACAAGCACAAAAUACCUUUAGAAAUCGAUCAGCCUUCAAGCUUCUAGCUUUGAUGAUAGAAGAUCAUGAAAAGAAUAGAAAAAAUCUCGGUUUCCCACUCCAACGAUCUCCAUUAAAGAACUUAACAGCUCUUCCUCUUCAUCACCCCACAUCUAUCAAAUGACAGACACCUGCGGAACAACGGUAGACUUGGGAGGCGAACACCGCUGCACUAUUUGGCCUAUCAAAGGCAUUAACAAUGAAACCUUGGAUCGAAGAGCAAAAUAAUACCAACAACCAACACAAACAAAGAAUAAAUAACUAAAUAGUAGAUAACUAAAUUUUUGUUAAUGGAUGAUUGAGCAUAUAUACAAAUGUAAAGCAAACAAAGCCGCAGGGUGGGCUUCCGAUGGUUAUAGUCACUCUUAAAAAUCCAUAAUCUUUA